Molecule: long non-coding RNA, 426 nt
Organism: Myotis myotis
Lineage: Eukaryota; Metazoa; Chordata; Mammalia; Chiroptera; Vespertilionidae
Exons: 3
Source: RefSeq, a predicted model, not a curated record
AUGGGUGUGAUAUUUUUGCAAUGAGCCUCGCUCUCGUUUGGACCAUGUUUGGAGUUUCCACAAUGCUCCUGCAUCCAACCUCACGUAGAGCUCAUGGCAGGGGAAGACUUACUGCCCUCAUUUUACAGCCGGAAGUCUGAGCAGGAGGGUGACGGCGAGGAUGUCUCCAUGGACGGGCUGCCCCCUCCUCUCCCAGUCAAGGCCCAGGUCGAAAGGGCGGAUGACUUGGUGGACACGGAAGGCGAUGCUGUGCGUGGAGGUGCCUUAACAAACAACUUCAGGCUGAAGCCAAAGUCUGGGUCUUAAUCAGUCUAUGUGAGACCCAUUCCACUGAGGACACCAGGGCAAGCCUCCAACCCAGCGGUUCUCAACCUGUGGGUCGUGACCCUUUUGGAGGUCGAACAACCCUUUCACAGGGGUCGCCUA